RNAcentral lists this long non-coding RNA (904 nucleotides) under Androctonus crassicauda. Lineage: Eukaryota; Metazoa; Arthropoda; Arachnida; Scorpiones; Buthidae. The record is from RNAcentral.
AAGUCAGUUAGGUCUGCUUGUUUAGUGCUUACUUGGACUUCUAAUUUUACAUUACUCCAUAUAGAGCAGUUAUUAAUAAGUUGUUUCGUAAUAAACAGAACAUUUUGAGAAGCAAAAGGAAUUGCACACAGUCUUUUGUUGAUCUCGAGAAUAUGUAGAAAGAAGCACUUUGCAAAUUACUGAACUUUACAUAAUAAAUAAAUCAAGCAUUUAUGCAUACCGUAUUAAAAGACUUUCUUUGCAUGAGUGUUUGGUUUAUUUAUUACGUGAUCUCAAGAAAGCCUAUGACUGAUUAUCAAGAGAGGUGUUGAAGAAACGUCUCUACAAACAUCAUAUUCCAGAGAACUUUUUGUGAGAUUGAUCCAGGAUACUUGUGCCAACCUUAGAACUUGUAUUAAAACCACCUGAAGGAGAUAAACAGAAAUUUGAAAUAUCAGUUGACAUGCAUCCAGAUUCAACACCUAGUCCAUUGGUCUUUGUGGUGGUUCUGGACUCCAUUUCUAAGGUGAUACCAUAUUAAACCUUAUAGUGUAUGCUCUAUGUUGAUGAUGUCAUCCUUGUCAAAGAAAUGAGAAAAGAGAUGAUUGACUAUAUUGGAGAAUAUUGUGCUAAGAAUCAGCAGAGCAAAGAUCAAAUAAAUGAUCUAUGGACUAGACUGCAUAGAUGGAUCACUAUUACAACUUGUAGAUUGGCAUUAUAUCCAAAAAAUACCUUUAAAUACUUUGGUUCUACAGUGAAGAAUGGUGGAAUAAUUGGGUUUCAAGUAAAGUAAAGAUUGCAUGGUGAUAUAAUGUAUGGCCAUCAAAUGUCUUGAAUGUUACUUUCUGAAAUAAAAUAGAAUGGAAGAUAAUACUUAGGACUCUAUCAUUUACAUAAUAAUAAUUUAAAAGCUACUUAUUUUCCU